AGCUUUUCCUUCCAUCACUUCCUCUGCACUUCCCCUCUAGAUCUGGAAACCCGAUUGAGAAAAUAAUCUGCGAUAAUGGCGCCUCAUUACUUGAAAGAACCUGGAAGCGAGCAUCCAGAGUUCAGCAAGCUACACUCUCGCAGAUCCAAACCGGAAGAACCUUUUCCAGAGAAGAUAAUGAGAUAGGUGGUGCACGAAUGAGAUUGAGGCCUUACGAGCAACUCAAGUGCUGAAGGAAAAGCUUUAGAUGAGAUGUUAACUAAGGUUUCAUGCAAGUAAAAGGAACCAAAGAAAGUGACAGUGGUUGUGUUUGGGAACUGAUCAAAAUGCAUAAUCUAGAAAUGAAGAAAGUAGCUGACGAGAAGAAGGAUGCUUUGGCUGCACAGUUUGUAGCUGAAGCAGCCCUCAGGAGGCUACACACAAACAACAAGGAGGAGGAUCUUCUACCAAUUGAUUCGAUCAUCGAUCCUCUUGAAGCUGACAUCAAAAUUUACAAGAAUGAGAUUGCAACUUUGCUAGAGGAUAAGAAAGCUAUGGAACGUCAUACAAAGUCAAAAGAAGCAGUUGUCCUUGAGACAAGGAAAAUCUUGAGGAGUUGAGGAUAUAUAAAACCAAAACCUCGAGUUAAGGAGACAGAUCGAAAUCUACCUGGAAGAGAACAAAAUACUCGAAAAGACCAACCAUCAGAAAGUCAUAGAGGUUGAAAAGCUUAGCCAGGCGAUUCAGGAACUUGAGGAGGUCGUUUUGGCUGGUGGGGGCUACUGCUAAUGUUGUUAUAGAAACGCAAAAUCUCUGAGCUCAAUGAGGAGAAGAUAAUUCGUGAGGGGGAGCUUGCACGAGCUAAGGUGUCAGCAAACAGAGUGGCAACUGUAGUUGGCUAAUGAAUGGAAAGACGGGGUUGAUAAGAGAUGAAGCGUUUAAAGGACAAACUAGCAGUGACUGAAAAAACUGCAAAGGCAGAAUCAUAGAUGAAGAUAAAAUGGUCUAUGACAGGAGAGAAACAAACCAAGAUUCUACGAUUUAAUAUAAUUUCUCA
This is a long non-coding RNA of Spinacia oleracea (spinach), 1036 nucleotides long. RefSeq lists it as uncharacterized. NCBI's taxonomy places the organism in Eukaryota, Viridiplantae, Streptophyta, Magnoliopsida, Caryophyllales, Amaranthaceae. The record is from RefSeq and is a predicted model, not a curated record. The transcript is spliced from 7 exons.